Molecule: transfer RNA, 71 nt
Filed under: Marmota monax (woodchuck)
Lineage: Eukaryota; Metazoa; Chordata; Mammalia; Rodentia; Sciuridae
Description: tRNA.Ala
Rfam family: tRNA
About the family: Transfer RNA (tRNA) molecules are approximately 80 nucleotides in length. Their secondary structure includes four short double-helical elements and three loops (D, anti-codon, and T loops).
Source: RNAcentral
GGGGUUGUGGCUCAGUGGUGGAGUGCUCGCCUAGCAUGUGUGAGACCCUGGGUUCAAUCCUCAGCACCACA